RNAcentral lists this ribosomal RNA (460 nucleotides) under uncultured bacterium. Its description in RNAcentral is "partial 16S ribosomal RNA". It matches the Rfam family "Bacterial small subunit ribosomal RNA", at positions 28 to 523 of the family's 1533-position model. The record is from RNAcentral.
GAUGAAUGCUGGCGGCGUGCUUAACACAUGCAAGUCGAGCGGUAAGGCCCUUUUAGGGUACACGAGCGGCGGACGGCUGAGUAACGCGUGGGAACAUGCCCUAAAGUGAGGAGUAAGCCCCAGAAAUGGAGUCUAAUGCCGCAUAUGAUCUUCGGAUUAAAGGAUUUAUCCGCUUUAGGAGUGGCCUGCGUACGAUUAGCUUGUUGGUGAGGUAAUGGCUUACCAAGGCGACGAUCGUUAGCUGGUCUGAGAGGAUGACCAGCCAGACUGGAACUGAGACACGGUCCAGACUCCUACGGGAGGCAGCAGUGAGGAAUCUUCCACAAUGGGCGAAAGCCUGAUGGAGCAACGCCGCGUGCAGGAUGAAGGCCCUCGGGUCGUAAACUGCUUUUAUGAGUGAAGAAUAUGACGGUAACUCAUGAAUAAGCACCGGCUAACUACGUGCCAGCCGCCGCGGUAA